This 643-nucleotide ribosomal RNA is filed under the name uncultured bacterium. RNAcentral's name for it is "bacterial SSU rRNA". It matches the Rfam family "Bacterial small subunit ribosomal RNA", at positions 232 to 885 of the family's 1533-position model. The record is from RNAcentral.
CGCGGCCUAUCAGCUUGUUGGUGGGGUGAUGGCCUACCAAGGCGACGACGGGUAGCCGGCCUGAGAGGGUGUCCGGCCACACUGGGACUGAGAUACGGCCCAGACUCCUACGGGAGGCAGCAGUGGGGAAUAUUGCACAAUGGGCGGAAGCCUGAUGCAGCGACGCCGCGUGAGGGAUGACGGCCUUCGGGUUGUAAACCUCUUUCAGCAGGGACGAAGCGUAAGUGACGGUACCUGCAGAAGAAGCGCCGGCCAACUACGUGCCAGCAGUCGCGGUAAGACGUAGGGCGCGAGCGUUGUCCGGAUUUAUUGGGCGUAAAGAGCUCGUAGGCGGCUUGUCGCGUCGAAUGUGAAAACUUGGGGCUCAACUCCAAGCUUGCAUUCGAUACGGGCAGGCUAGAGUUCGGUAGGGGAGACUGGAAUUCCUGGUGUAGCGGUGAAAUGCGCAGAUAUCAGGAGGAACACCGGUGGCGAAGGCGGGUCUCUGGGCCGAUACUGACGCUGAGGAGCGAAAGCGUGGGGAGCGAACAGGAUUAGAUACCCUGGUAGUCCACGCUGUAAGCGUUGGGCGCUAGGUGUGGGGGGCCUCUCCGGUUCCCUGUGCCGCAGCUAACGCAUUAAGCGCCCCGCCUGGGGAGUACGG